RNAcentral lists this ribosomal RNA (433 nucleotides) under uncultured bacterium. RNAcentral describes it as "partial 16S ribosomal RNA". It matches the Rfam family "Bacterial small subunit ribosomal RNA", at positions 29 to 507 of the family's 1533-position model. The record is from RNAcentral.
GCGAACGCUGGCGGCAGGCCUAACACAUGCAAGUCGAACGAACCUUUCGGGGUUAGUGGCGGACGGGUGAGUAACACGUGGGAACGUGCCUUUAGGUUCGGAAUAACUCAGGGAAACUUGUGCUAAUACCGAAUGUGCCCUUCGGGGGAAAGAUUUAUCGCCUUUAGAGCGGCCCGCGUCUGAUUAGCUAGUUGGUUGAGGUAAUGGCUCACCAAGGCGACGAUCAGUAGCUGGUCUGAGAGGAUGAUCAGCCACAUUGGGACUGAGACACGGCCCAAACUCCGACGGGAAGCAGCAGUGGGGAAUCUUGCGCAAUGGGCGAAAGCCUGACGCAGCCAUGCCGCGUGAAUGAUGAAGGUCUUAGGAUUGUAAAAUUCUUUCACCGGGGACGAUAAUGACGGUACCCGGAGAAGAAGCCCCGGCUAACUUCGUG